CGCCGGUUUCUCCGCGACGAUCAGCCGCGAAUCCCGCCAGGCCCGGAAGGGAGCAACGGUAACGGUGAUAUCGGGCGCCGGAGAGGUGCCGGCGCGG
This is a non-coding RNA of Steroidobacter denitrificans, 97 nucleotides long. It matches the Rfam family "Bacterial small signal recognition particle RNA". Rfam says of the family: The signal recognition particle (SRP) is a universally conserved ribonucleoprotein involved in the co-translational targeting of proteins to membranes. Archaeal SRP consists of a 7S RNA and homologues of the eukaryotic SRP19 and SRP54 proteins. In most bacteria, the SRP consists of a 4.5S RNA and the Ffh protein (a homologue of the eukaryotic SRP54 protein). The record is from Rfam. Lineage: Bacteria; Pseudomonadati; Pseudomonadota; Gammaproteobacteria; Steroidobacterales; Steroidobacteraceae.